Molecule: ribosomal RNA, 443 nt
Filed under: uncultured microorganism
Description: bacterial SSU rRNA
Rfam family: Bacterial small subunit ribosomal RNA
Source: RNAcentral
CGGGCGGCUGCAGUCGAGAAUAUUGGUCAAUGGGCGAAAGCCUGAACCAGCGACGCCGCGUGCUUGAAGAAGCCCUUCGGGGCGUAAAAAGCUUUUCUGGGGGAUGAACCUUCGGGUGACAGUACCCCAGGAAUAAGAGGUUGCUAACUCUGUGCCAGCAGCAGCGGUAAUACAGAGACCUCAAGCGUUAUCCGGAUUUAUUGGGCGUAAAGGGUCCGUAGGCGGCCAGGCUAGUCUUUGGUUAAACACCCAGAGCUUAACUUUGGGAAUGCCAGAGAUACUGCCUAGCUAGAGGGCAUUAGAGGCUGAUAGAACGGUCGGUGUAGGGGUGAAAUCCGUUGAUAUCGACCGGAAUACCAAAAGCGAAGGCAUUCAGCUGGGGUGACCCUGACGCUGAGGGACGAAAGCGUGGGCAUGGAAAAGGAUUAGAUACCCUUGUAGUC